UUUACCGCAAGAUGAACCUUAAACCCUUCUUCUCCGUAUCCCCCGUUCUACUUCCAAUUUUAUGAGUUUAAAUUAAGAUGGUUUCAUUUUUCAUUUGAAAUGCAUCAAUUUGCGAGAAAUUUCGUCUGGGUAUGGCAUCUCACAGCUUUUUAUGGAGCUUUGGUAAGAAGGUCUUCACAUUUGGACUCAUAGGCCUUUACUGUUUCAGAUCGUUAUGCUAGCGUCCUUCCGAUGACUAUGUUCUAGUUGAGAAAUUUUGUCUGGGAAAGUACAAGUUUUCACAUGGAGAUGAUGUGAUUGUUUUUCGAUUACCUCGCAAUCACAAAGAGAAACAUGUGAAGAGAAUUAUUGGUUUGCCAGGUGACUGGAUUGGAACUCACAGUUCUUAUGAUGUUGUGAAGGUUCCGGAUGGACAUUGUUGGGUUGAGGGAGACAAUCCUUCUUCUAGCAUGGAGUCAAGAACUUAUGGCCCAAUUCCUUUGGGCCUAGUUCAAGGAAGGAUCACCCAUAUUGUAUGGCCUCCUCAAAGACUAGGAGCAGUGAAGAGAAAUAUUUAUGCAGACAGACUUUCUUCUUUCUAAUCAGGUCAUGAUAGUUGAUACUUUAUUUAGCGAGAAUACAUAUUUUCCUUCAUAAUGCUUUACCAUUUGAUCAAGGCAACAAUUUUUUGGAGAUCCCUUGCUUAA
This is an RNA transcript of Mangifera indica (mango), 686 nucleotides long. It is a transcript of the gene named mitochondrial inner membrane protease subunit 2-like, with no coding region annotated. The record is from RefSeq and is a predicted model, not a curated record. NCBI's taxonomy places the organism in Eukaryota, Viridiplantae, Streptophyta, Magnoliopsida, Sapindales, Anacardiaceae. The transcript is spliced from 5 exons.